UACAGAGGUGGCAAGCGUUGUUCGGAAUUACUGGGCGUAAAGGGCGCGUAGGCGGUCUUGUAAGUCUUGUGUGAAAUCCCUCGGCUUAACUGAGGAACUGCACAGGAUACUGCGAGACUUGAGUUCGGGAGAGGGAAGCGGAAUUCCGGGUGUAGCGGUGAAAUGCGUAGAUAUCCGGAGGAACAUCGGUGGCGAAGGCGGCAUCCUGGACCGGUAUUGAUGCUGAGGCGCGAAAGCCAGGGGAGCAAACGGG
Molecule: ribosomal RNA, 253 nt
Filed under: uncultured bacterium
Lineage: Bacteria
Description: partial 16S ribosomal RNA
Rfam family: Bacterial small subunit ribosomal RNA
Source: RNAcentral